UACGGAGGGUGCAAGCGUUAUCCGGAUUCACUGGGUUUAAAGGGUGCGUAGGAGGGCAGGUAAGUCAGUGGUGAAAUCUCCGAGCUUAACUUGGAAACAGCCGUUGAUACUAUCUGUCUUGAAUAUUGUGGAGGUGAGCGGAAUAUGUCAUGUAGCGGUGAAAUGCUUAGAUAUGACAUAGAACACCAAUUGCGAAGGCAGCUCGCUACACAUAUAUUGACUCUGAGGCACGAAAGCGUGGGGAUCAAACAGG
Molecule: ribosomal RNA, 253 nt
Filed under: uncultured bacterium
Lineage: Bacteria
Description: partial 16S ribosomal RNA
Rfam family: Bacterial small subunit ribosomal RNA
Source: RNAcentral